AUGAACGCUGGCGGCGUGCCUAAUACAUGCAAGUCGAGCGAACGGACGAGAAGCUUGCUUCUCUGAUGUUAGCGGCGGACGGGUGAGUAACACGUGGAUAACCUACCUAUAAGACUGGGAUAACUUCGGGAAACCGGAGCUAAUACCGGAUGAUAUUUUGAACCGCAUGGUUCAAAAGUGAAAGACGGUCUUGCUGUCACUUAUAGAUGGAUCCGCGCUGCAUCAGCUAGUUGGUAAGGUAACGGCUUACCAAGGAAACGAUGCAUAGCCGACCUGAGAGGGUGAUCGGCCACACUGGAACUGAGACACGGUCCAGACUCCUACGGGAGGCAGCAGUAGGGAAUCUUCCGCAAUGGGCGAAAGCCUGACGGAGCAACGCCGCGUGAGUGAUGAAGGUCUUCGGAUCGUAAAACUCUGUUAUUAGGGAAGAACAUAUGUGUAAGUAACUGUGCACAUCUUGACGGUACCUAAUCAGAAAGCCACGGCUAACUACGUG
Molecule: ribosomal RNA, 496 nt
Filed under: uncultured bacterium
Lineage: Bacteria
Description: partial 16S ribosomal RNA
Rfam family: Bacterial small subunit ribosomal RNA
Source: RNAcentral